GACGAACGCUGGCGGCGUGCUUAACACAUGCAAGUCGAACGGGUCUGCCCUGUUUUUUGCGGGGUGGGUCAGUGGCGAACGGGUGAGUAACACGUGAGUAACCUGCCCCUCACUUCUGGAUAACCGCUUGAAAGGGUGGCUAAUACGGGGUGUUCUGGCUGUGCCGCAUGGUGUGGCUGGGAAAGAUUCACUUUUGUGGUGUUUUGGUGGGGGAUGGGCUCGCGGCCUAUCAGCUUGUUGGUGGGGUGAUGGCCUGCCAAGGCUUUGACGGGUAGCCGGCCUGCGAGGGUGGGCGGUCACACUGGGACUGAGAUACGGCCCAGACUCCUGCGGGAGGCAGCAGUGGGGGGUAUUGCACAAUGGGCGGAAGCCUGAUGCAGCGACGUCGCGUGAGGGAUGGAGGCCUUCGGGUUGUGAACCUCUUUCGCCGGUGAAGAAGGUCCUGCUCUUUGUGGUGGGGUUGACGGUAGCCGGGUUAUGAAGCGCCGGCUAACUACGUG
RNAcentral lists this ribosomal RNA (500 nucleotides) under uncultured bacterium. RNAcentral describes it as "partial 16S ribosomal RNA". It matches the Rfam family "Bacterial small subunit ribosomal RNA", at positions 28 to 507 of the family's 1533-position model. The record is from RNAcentral.